GGGUCAUGAUUUCUGCCCAUGCCGAUCCAAUCGGACUCAGCGGAUGAAAUGCGUAGUUGGAGUUGCCCUGACUCCUUGAGAUCCGGACCAAUCGAAGGUCGCAUCCAACGGCAGAUGACGCCCCGACAACAAAGUCGUCGCCUGGUCUCCUCCGCCGCUCCCGCCACUCUCCUGCUCCUACUCCUCGCCGGCGCCGCCGACGCCGAGCCACCGCUAGUCGGCGUUUCUCCCCAGGACGAGGCGUACUUCGCGCCGCAGGUGAUCGCCUGCAGGGACGGCUCGGGCUCCUUCCCCAGGAGCCGGCUCAACGACGGAUACUGCGAUUGCACCGAUGGAACCGACGAGCCAGGCACUUCGGCUUGCCCAGAAGGCAAAUUUUAUUGUAUAAACACUGGAGAUCUUCCUCGUAUCUUGUUCUCUUCGUUUGUGAAUGAUAACAUUUGCGAUUGCUGUGAUGGAAGUGAUGAGUAUGAAAGUGGCAUCCAUUGUCCGAACACAUGUAAAAAGAGACAUGAUACUGCCGAGACAGACAAUGGUGUUAGUGAGCUGUCAGUCGCACAUUUAGGUGGAACGGACAUAAUUUCUAGUAAACAUACACUUGACAUAGAAGAUCUUAUCCAGAAGCUAAGAGGAUUAAGAAUGGCUGCAGUUAUUGAACUGGGUGUUGUUGUAUGUAUUUUCGUUUUCUACUUUGCUCGACGGAGCACUCGGGCACGGAGGAGACAAUAUAUUUUGAAACGUUAGAAAAGUUUUAAGCUUGUAGGGCUGAUCGAGAAUUGGAGAUGGGAAGGUCAGGCAUCCACAAGCAGUCGCAGCCGACACAAGGAGCCAGUCAGCCACAGCCAGUGGUGUUUUGGCCGGAUUCGGAAUUAGGGACUCAUGUAUCAUCUGAUGAAUCCAAUUUCUUUUACACUUCUGUAUCUUACUUUAUCUUGUUUUUUAGUACUCCCUCUGUAAAGAAAUACUGUAAGAACGCGUUUGGUUGGAGCUCAGGUAACGUAUUCACUGUUGUAAUGAGAAUACACUGUAUUAGAUUGGAGGUAAGUGAUUACAUGAUGUGUCUGGUUCACGCAAAGGAAUAGGAAGCCGUGGAGUGCCGUCGCGAGCCUUGUAGACUAUGCCGGAGGACCGGAGGACGGACGACUGCUGGGGAUGGCCCUUGACGGAAAAUGAGAUCACCAGCCGUUCAAACAACGCUGCUGCUCACGGCAGCGAAGCGACAUCGGCGGCGCUGCCCACGGCGUCGGCGAAGAGAGAUCGGUGGCGCUGCCCACGCCGACAGC
Molecule: RNA transcript, 1283 nt
Organism: Triticum aestivum (bread wheat)
Lineage: Eukaryota; Viridiplantae; Streptophyta; Magnoliopsida; Poales; Poaceae
Gene name: SCO-spondin
Exons: 7
Source: RefSeq, a predicted model, not a curated record